RNAcentral lists this microRNA precursor (64 nucleotides) under Neolamprologus brichardi. RNAcentral's name for it is "microRNA nbr-mir-10570 precursor". Lineage: Eukaryota; Metazoa; Chordata; Actinopteri; Cichliformes; Cichlidae. The record is from miRBase by way of RNAcentral.
AACAGUACAUUUGCAGAAUGACUUAAACUAGCCCACUAUCAGUCAUUGAGCUAAUAUACUGUUU